AUGUUUGAAUGCUUACUACUUCAUUAUUUACCAUUGUCGUGCAUAAACUUUUCAAAGGAACUAAUACUCGGUGCUGAGCCUAUUUUCCACCAUAGGUCACAACUUUUGUGUUGCAACCGACGACACAUGGCUUCCUCUUGGACCCUCAACAAUCGACACACAUGCACACUUACACACAUUCGUAGCUUAAUCCUAGGUUCUCUUAUAGUGACACCUAAUCGAUUAAUUGUUUCAAUUAGUCGUCUAGAAGACUAA
Vicia faba (fava bean) is the source of this 255-nucleotide non-coding RNA. The record is from the annotation of a GenBank genome assembly. NCBI's taxonomy places the organism in Eukaryota, Viridiplantae, Streptophyta, Magnoliopsida, Fabales, Fabaceae.